GGUACCGCCUGCCCAGUGAUUCUUUUAACGGCCGCGGUAUCCUAACCGUGCAAAGGUAGCAUAAUCACUUGUCCCCUAAAUAGGGACUAGUAUGAACGGCUAAAUGAGGACUAAACUGUCUCUUAUAGGCUGACCAAUGAAAUUGAUCUCCCAGUACAAAAGCUGGGAUAAAACCAUAAGACGAGAAGACCCUGUGGAGCUUCAAACCAAACACACCUAGUAUGUCCUUUAGGUUUUUAGUUGGGGCGACUUCGGAGAAAAAGAAAACCUCCAAAAAGUGAUUAUCCACAUUAUUUAGACCCACACAUCAAAACAACAACACAAGACCCAGCAACUCACCCAACGUUGUCUGAUCAAUGAACCAAGUUACCCCAGGGAUAACAGCGCCAUCCCCUUCUAGAGUCCAUAUCGACAAGGGGGUUUACGACCUCGAUGUUGGAUCAGGACACCCCAAUGGUGCAGCCGCCAUUAAAGGUUCGUUUGUUCAACGAUUAAAGUCCUA
This 502-nucleotide ribosomal RNA is filed under the name Algyroides moreoticus. RNAcentral describes it as "partial 16S ribosomal RNA". It matches the Rfam family "Bacterial large subunit ribosomal RNA", at positions 1851 to 2598 of the family's 2925-position model. Lineage: Eukaryota; Metazoa; Chordata; Lepidosauria; Squamata; Lacertidae. The record is from RNAcentral.